UCACCAGUUCAAAUCUGGUUCUUGGCA
This 27-nucleotide transfer RNA is filed under the name Cucurbita moschata (crookneck pumpkin). Its description in RNAcentral is "partial tRNA-Phe". Lineage: Eukaryota; Viridiplantae; Streptophyta; Magnoliopsida; Cucurbitales; Cucurbitaceae. The record is from RNAcentral. RNAcentral also lists the same sequence under 15 other names.